GCAGCAGGCGCGCAAAUUACCCACUCCCGGCACGGGGAGGUAGUGACGAAAAAUAACGAUACGGGACUCAUCCGAGGCCCCGUAAUCGGAAUGAGAUCACUCUAAACCUUUUAACGAGUAUCCAUUGGAGGGCAAGUCUGGUGCCAGCAGCCGCGGUAAUUCCAGCUCCAAUAGCGUAUAUUAAAGUUGCUGCGGUUAAAAAGCUCGUAGUUGGACUUGUGUCCCACGCUGUCGGUUCACCGUUCGUCGGUGUCAACUGGCAUGCUGUGCGGACGUCCUGCCGGUGGAUGCGGUCGGCCGUGGGCCUCUGGUCUGCGUGUCGGCGGUCCGAUGGAAUCCUACCGCGGUGCUCUUAACCGAGUGUCGAGGUGGGCCGGCACAUUUACUUUGAACAAAUUAGAGUGCUCAAAGCAGGCUAAGUGUCCGCCUGAAUAUUGUGUGCAUGGAAUAAUGGAAUAGGACCUCGGUUCUAUUUUGUUGGUUUUCGGAACAUGAGGAAAUGAUUAAAAGGGACAGAUGGAGGCAUUCGUAUUGCGACGUUAGAGGUGAAAUUCUUGGAUCGUCGCAAGACGGACUAAAGCGAAAGCAUUUGCCAUAGAUGUUUUCAUUAAUCAAGAACGAAAGUUAGAGGUUCGAAGGCGAUCAGAUACCGCCCUAGUUCUAACCAUAAACGAUGCCAGCCAGCGAUCCGCCGAAGUUCCUCCAUAGACUCGGCGGGCAGCUUCCGGGAAACCAAAGCUUUUGGGUUCCGGGGGAAGUAUGGUUGCAAAGCUGAAACUUAAAGGAAUUGACGGAAGGGCACCACCAGGAGUGGAGCCUGCGGCUUAAUUUGACUCAACACGGGAAACCUCACCAGGCCCGGACAUCGGAAGGAUUGACAGAUUGAGAGCUCUUUCUUGAUUCGGUGGAUGGUGGUGCAUGGCCGUUCUUAGUUGGUGGAGUGAU
This 945-nucleotide ribosomal RNA is filed under the name Carausius gardineri. RNAcentral describes it as "SSU rRNA". It matches the Rfam family "Eukaryotic small subunit ribosomal RNA", at positions 425 to 1310 of the family's 1831-position model. Lineage: Eukaryota; Metazoa; Arthropoda; Insecta; Phasmatodea; Lonchodidae. The record is from RNAcentral.